Molecule: microRNA precursor, 73 nt
Filed under: Myotis lucifugus (little brown bat)
Lineage: Eukaryota; Metazoa; Chordata; Mammalia; Chiroptera; Vespertilionidae
Description: mir-9193 microRNA precursor family
Rfam family: mir-9193 microRNA precursor family
Source: Rfam by way of RNAcentral
CUUGAGGGGGGGUGUCCCUCAGCCCAGAUUGAGAAAUGGUGAAGGCCAGGCCGAGGGACCCCACUAGUGCAUG